Molecule: ribosomal RNA, 1437 nt
Filed under: uncultured organism
Description: SSU rRNA
Rfam family: Bacterial small subunit ribosomal RNA
Source: RNAcentral
CUAUCUACAGGCUUAACACAUGCAAGUCGAGGGGCAGCAUGGUCUUAGCUUGCUAAGGCCGAUGGCGACCGGCGCACGGGUGAGUAACACGUAUCCAACCUGCCGUCUACUCUUGGACAGCCUUCUGAAAGGAAGAUUAAUACAAGAUGGCAUCAUGAGUCCACAUGUUCACAUGAUUAAAGGUAUUCCGGUAGACGAUGGGGAUGCGUUCCAUUAGAUAGUAGGCGGGGUAACGGCCCACCUAGUCUUCGAUGGAUAGGGGUUCUGAGAGGAAGGUCCCCCACAUUGGAACUGAGACACGGUCCAAACUCCUACGGGAGGCAGCAGUGAGGAAUAUUGGUCAAUGGGCGAGAGCCUGAACCAGCCAAGUAGCGUGAAGGAUGACUGCCCUAUGGGUUGUAAACUUCUUUUAUAAAGGAAUAAAGUCGGGUAUGGAUACCCGUUUGCAUGUACUUUAUGAAUAAGGAUCGGCUAACUCCGUGCCAGCAGCCGCGGUAAUACGGAGGAUCCGAGCGUUAUCCGGAUUUAUUGGGUUUAAAGGGAGCGUAGAUGGAUGUUUAAGUCAGUUGUGAAAGUUUGCGGCUCAACCGUAAAAUUGCAGUUGAUACUGGAUAUCUUGAGUGCAGUUGAGGCAGGCGGAAUUCGUGGUGUAGCGGUGAAAUGCUUAGAUAUCACGAAGAACUCCGAUUGCGAAGGCAGCCUGCUAAGCUGCAACUGACAUUGAGGCUCGAAAGUGUGGGUAUCAAACAGGAUUAGAUACCCUGGUAGUCCACACGGUAAACGAUGAAUACUCGCUGUUUGCGAUAUACAGCAAGCGGCCAAGCGAAAGCGUUAAGUAUUCCACCUGGGGAGUACGCCGGCAACGGUGAAACUCAAAGGAAUUGACGGGGGCCCGCACAAGCGGAGGAACAUGUGGUUUAAUUCGAUGAUACGCGAGGAACCUUACCCGGGCUUAAAUUGCAGAUGAAUUACGGUGAAAGCCGUAAGCCGCAAGGCAUCUGUGAAGGUGCUGCAUGGUUGUCGUCAGCUCGUGCCGUGAGGUGUCGGCUUAAGUGCCAUAACGAGCGCAACCCUUGUUGUCAGUUACUAACAGGUUCCGCUGAGGACUCUGACAAGACUGCCAUCGUAAGAUGUGAGGAAGGUGGGGAUGACGUCAAAUCAGCACGGCCCUUACGUCCGGGGCUACACACGUGUUACAAUGGGGGGUACAGAGGGCCGCUACCACGCGAGUGGAUGCCAAUCCCAAAACCUCUCUCAGUUCGGACUGGAGUCUGCAACCCGACUCCACGAAGCUGGAUUCGCUAGUAAUCGCGCAUCAGCCACGGCGCGGUGAAUACGUUCCCGGGCCUUGUACACACCGCCCGUCAAGCCAUGGGAGCCGGGGGUACCUGAAGUGCGUAACCGCGAGGAGCGCCCUAGGGUAAAACUGGUGACUGG